This 345-nucleotide unclassified non-coding RNA is filed under the name soil metagenome. Its description in RNAcentral is "partial contains 5.8S ribosomal RNA, internal transcribed spacer 2, and large subunit ribosomal RNA". The stretch from base 1 to 119 matches the Rfam family "5.8S ribosomal RNA", at positions 35 to 154 of the family's 154-position model. The record is from RNAcentral.
GAUGAAGAACGCAGUGAAAUGCGAUACGUAAUGUGAAUUGCAAAUUCAGUGAAUCAUCGAGUCUUUGAACGCACAUUGCGCCCCCUGGUAUUCCGGGGGGCAUGCCUGUCCGAGCGUCUUUGCUGCCCUCAAGCACGGCUUGUGUGUUGGGCCCCGUCCUCCGAUCCCGGGGGACGGGCCCGAAAGGCAGCGGCGGCACCGCGUCCGGUCCUCGAGCGUAUGGGGCUUUGUCACCCGCUCUGUAGGCCCGGCCGGCGCUUGCCGAUCAACCCAAAUUUUUAUCCAGGUUGACCUCGGAUCAGGUAGGGAUACCCGCUGAACUUAAGCAUAUCAAUAAGCGGAGGA